RNAcentral lists this ribosomal RNA (465 nucleotides) under uncultured bacterium. Its description in RNAcentral is "partial 16S ribosomal RNA". It matches the Rfam family "Bacterial small subunit ribosomal RNA", at positions 28 to 507 of the family's 1533-position model. The record is from RNAcentral.
GAUGAACGCUGGCGGCGUGCUUAACACAUGCAAGUCGAACGGAAAGGCUCCUGCUUGCAGGGGUACUCGAGUGGUGAACGGGUGAGUAACACGUGGGUGAUCUGCCCUGCACUUCGGGAUAAGCCUGGGAAACUGGGUCUAAUACCGGAUAGGACGAUGGUUUGGAUGCCAUUGUGGAAAGUUUUUCGGUGUGGGAUGAGCUCGCGGCCUAUCAGCUUGUUGGUGGGGUAAUGGCCUACCAAGGCGUCGACGGGUAGCCGGCCUGAGAGGGUGUACGGCCACAUUGGGACUGAGAUACGGCCCAGACUCCUACGGGAGGCAGCAGUGGGGAAUAUUGCACAAUGGGCGCAAGCCUGAUGCAGCGACGCCGCGUGGGGGAUGACGGCCUUCGGGUUGUAAACUCCUUUCGCUAGGGACGAAGCGCAAGUGACGGUACCUGGAGAAGAAGCACCGGCUAACUACGUG